Molecule: RNA transcript, 2233 nt
Organism: Sapajus apella (tufted capuchin)
Lineage: Eukaryota; Metazoa; Chordata; Mammalia; Primates; Cebidae
Gene name: SEC14-like protein 1 pseudogene
Exons: 1
Source: RefSeq, a predicted model, not a curated record
UCCAUCACACCCUCUUCAAAGACAUCUUCUUCAUCCUGCAAGAAACAAGCAGCAUCCAUGGCCGUCAUCAUCCCAGAUGCUGCCCUUAAGGAGGGGCUGAGUGGCAAUGCCCUCAGCAGCCCCAGUACACCUGAGCCUGUGGUGGGCACCCAUGACAACAAACUAGAUGUUGACUACAUCAAGAGGUACCUGGACGAUUUGACUCCACUGCAGGGGAGCUGCCUCAUUAGACUUUGCCGGUGGCUCCAGGAGACCCACAAGGGCAAAAUUCCAAAAGAUGAGCCUAUUCUUCAGUUCUUACCUGGGUGAGAUUUUAAUAUUGACAAAGCCAGAGAGAUCAUGUGUCAAUCUUUGACAUGGAGGAAGGAGCACCAGGUAGACUGCAUUCUUGACACCUGGACCCCUCCACAGGUCCUUCAGGAUUUCUACAUGGGAGGCUGGCAUCAUCACAAUAAAGAGGGGUAGCCCCUCUAUGUGCUCAGGCUGGGGCAGAUGGACACCAAAGGCUUGGUGAGAGCACUCAGGGAGGAAGCCCUGCUGAGAUACAUUCUCUCCAUAAAUGAGGAAGGGCUAAGGUGAUAUGAGGAGAAUACAAAAGUCUUUGGUCAGCUUAUCAGUUCAUGGACCUGCCUGGUGGACUUGGAAGGGCUGAACAUGUGCCACUUGUGGAGACCCAGUGUCAAAGCGCUGCUGCAGAUCAUUGAGGUGGUGGAGGCCAAUUACCCUGAGACACUGGGCUGCCUUCUCAUCCUGCAGGUGCCCAGGGUGUUUCCUGUGCUCUGGAUGCUGGUUAGUCCAUUCAUUGAUGACAACACCAGAAGGAAAUUCCUCCUUUAAACAGGAAAUGACUACCAGGGUCCUGGAGGCCUGCUGGAUUACACUGACAAAAAGAUUAUUCCAGAUUUCCUGAGUGGGGAGUGCAUGUGUGAAGUGCCAGAGGGUGAAUUCGUCCUCAGAUUUCUGUACUGCACUGCAGAGGAGCUGGAGGAUGAAGACCACAAGCUCUGGACUGAGAGCAUUUACCAGUCUGUAAGCAUCUUCAAAGGAGGCCCCCAAGAGAUUUUCAUUCGGAUUGUGGACGCCUCUUCAGUCAUCAUUUGGGAUUUUGAUGUGUGCAAAGGGACAAGAGGUCACCACAGCCAUCCCAAAAGGACUCCCUGGGGGCCCACAGCAUCACCUCUCCAGGUGGGAUCCAUGUGCAGCUCAUAGACAAAGUCUGGCAGCUGGGCUGCUACUACAGCAUGAUGAUUGCCUCUGAUCUGCAAAGAAGGAGAAAGUGCGCAGGGCUCCCCCAGUGACCAGGUGGCUGGGCUUCUACAGCCUGUAGUGAAAUGCCACAGCAUGCCCACAUGCGCUGCCAGCAGCCUGCCCCGGGUGGACGACGUGCUCGCAUCCCUGCAGGCCUCUUUGCACAAAUGUAAAGUGAUGUACUACACGAGGUGAUCGGCCCCGAGGAUUUCAGAGGUUCCAUGACAAGCCUGGAGUCCAGCCACAGUGGCUUCUCACAGGUGAGUGCCACCACCACCUCCUCCAGCCAGUCCCACUCCAGCUCCAUGAUCUCCAGGUAGUGCCACGCUGUCUGUGCCUAGUGUGCAGAGGGGAUGGCCACCCCUCUUCGGACAGCCAGCUGCACCCAUCUGCCCAGCGGUGACACUGUAUAGACUCCUCUCACCUCUAGAUAGCAAAUAGCUCUCCAGAUGGUAAACAUAGUCGUUUGAUCCCAAAGCUAUCUUGGCAGGUAGUUUUAACUCUGAUCCUAACUUAACUCAGUAGCCAUAGAUUUUGGAUAAGUUGUGCACAAAAACCUGAUUUUUAUAUCUAUUAACCUUGUUAAACUCUUUUAUUGUUAAAAUUUAUCUGUAGAUUGUUUUGGAUGUGACACAUACAUAUUUUUUUUUUUUUGAGACAAAGUUCUGCUCUUGUUGCCUAGGCUGGGGUGCAGUGGCACGAUAUCAGCUCACUGCAACCUCUGCCUUCAGGGUUCAAGCAAUUCUUGUAUGCCACUUGGGAAAGAAUACACCAACACAUUUGCAUUUUUUUUUUUCUUCUUUAAAGGAGAUGACAAAAACCCAGUUUACCAGCUUUACUUUUUGGAACCUAAGCUUAACAUUACAUAUUUAAACAAUUGUCAAAAAGUUGCUAAGUUGCCAGCAUACAUGCACAACUAGAAAACACCCUUAAUUUAUAUUAAACCGGAAACAUAUUACCAUUAAUGCAUUAAUAUCUUUCACUA